RNAcentral lists this long non-coding RNA (1533 nucleotides) under Macaca fascicularis (crab-eating macaque). RNAcentral describes it as "lncRNA (ENSMFAG00000047710.1)". Lineage: Eukaryota; Metazoa; Chordata; Mammalia; Primates; Cercopithecidae. The record is from RNAcentral.
UUUUUUUUUUUUUUUUGAGACCGUGUCUUGCUCUGUUACCCAGGCUGGGCUGUCCUGGUGCAAUCUUGGCUCACUUUGGCUCACAGCAGCUUCAAAAUUCUAGGCUUGAGCAAUCCUCCUACCCCAGCCUCCUGAGAAGCUGGGACUACAGGCGCUUGCCACUAUGCCCGGCUAAUUUUUUAAAUUAUUUUGUAGAGACAGAGUCUCCCUAUGUUCCCAGGCUGGUCUCAAACACCUGAGCUCAGGUGAUCCUCCCACCUCGACCUCCCAUAGUGCUGGAACUACAGGCGUAAACCACCACUCCUGGCCAUUUUUAAAAAAAUUUCACAACUCAAACUUAAUUCAACUCAGUCCCUGCCUACCUGUACUGGCGAGGAGCUGGCCACAGCAAAUUAGGCCCCGUACCCUGAGGGCAAGGCCAAAUGUGCGGGUAUAAAAGGAUGUGAAACCCUGAAUUAGGGUGGAUCCAGAAUCUCAGGCCAUGGUGCCCCAAGCAGAUGUCUGGUGACAUUCUACCCUGAAAUGCUCAGGCUCCAGAGAUAUUAGGUCUCUUUCACUCUGUUCCUCUUUAUAGCCCCUGUGUCCACUGCCAUGCUUGGGCCAUUUCCUCUUUUGACCAAAACACAAAGGAUUCAUCCCAUUACUUCCUCCUUCAACAGCUGGUACAGAGACCCCCAGCUCUAGGCCUGUGGGGUUGUGACACAUGUGUACUGAUCCUUCAGUCCACUGGGACUGUAUACAUGGCUUGGCUGCAUGGUGGGAAAGCAUCCCUUUACUUUGACUUUAGCCAUAUGACUUGCUCUGGCCAAUGGAUGUGCAUGGACAUGACUCAAGCUAAGUCUUGAAACAUACUUAAGCGGUUGGCCUCCCCUGAAUUUCUGUCAUUGCCAGGCAAGAGGCAGGCUCCAACUGACCUGCCGGUCCAAAGAGGAUGACGAACACAUGCAGAUGACCUGAAUCAGACCCAUGGUUUGAAACAAAACUCAGCUGAGCCCAGCCUACGUCCGCCAGACCCCAGCCAACCUGUGGAUGCAUCAGUUUAUUGCUGGAUGCUGCUGAGAAUUCUGUGGCUACAUUAGCAAAAUGAUACAAGGCCUAAGUCCCAGAACAACACACCCAGAACGUGCUUACCUUUCCUUAGGGUGAGGAGAACAAAGACUUAUCUACCUUGAUUAGUCAGGGAGCAUUGCUUCCUGUCAUUUCCUUGAGUAUACAGCAGCCUAAGUAAACAAAUAAAAAUAACUAGGUAAGCUGGGCACGGUGGCUCAUGCCUAUGAUCUCAGCACUUUGGGAGGCCGAGGUGGGCAGAUCGCUGGAGGCCAGGAGUUCAAGACCAGCCUGGCCAACAUGGCGAAACCCCGUCUCUACUAAAAAUACAAAAAUUAGCCAGGCCUAGUUACAGGCGGGCACCUGUAAUCUCAGCUACUCAAUAUGCUGAGGCACAAGAAUCGAUUGAACCUGGGAGGUGGAUAUUGCAGUGAGCCAAGGUCACACUACUGCAUUCCAGCCUGGAUGACAGAAUGAGAGUCUGCC